This 1139-nucleotide long non-coding RNA is filed under the name Sus scrofa (pig). RNAcentral describes it as "lncRNA (ENSSSCG00070005930.1)". The record is from RNAcentral. Lineage: Eukaryota; Metazoa; Chordata; Mammalia; Artiodactyla; Suidae.
AUGGUAGUGCCCUCAAGCUGGUCUCCGGCCAGGGCACAGGGAUGCCAGAAUCCUGCCUUUGACCAGGAACUGCCCAGAGCCAUCCACACAACCUGUCCAUGGCCCCUCUCUAGAAGGGGUGCCCCAAGGAGAGCCUCCUCCCCUUCCCCUGGUCCGUGGUUCCUUCCUGACCCCACCCUAUUCCGGGGUGAGAGGAGCAGGGGUCUGCCUAGGGCUGGGGUGGGGAGGAGGAUGGGGCCAGCUGCUCCCGUGUCGCCAUGCCUGCCCGAGCUGACCCGGCCCGGGACCCCCUGGAUGAUGUUGCUGGAUUCAGGCCACUCCUCCACUGUCCUGGGAUGUCUGCCAGAAACCAGCAGUGCCAGAGCCAGAGCGGACACCUCCCUCCAGGCGUGCCCCCCUCCGACCGAGCUCACAUCAAACACGAGGGCCAAGGACGGACAGCGGUCAAGGGCGAUGCUGGCGCCCCCUGACGUCUGAGCUCGGGAGGCAGGUAGGAACGCCCCCCACCUCCUGCCCCAGCACUAAGCCCCCGCCCCCACCCCGGAGUUUGGGACAGCGGUCGGCGGGGAGGAAGGGCUCCAGCGGCGCGGUGCACGGGCUCAGAGCACGAGCCCCGGGUCUGAACACCUGAGCCGGCUGCCAGCCCCUUCCCUGCUCUGUGACCUUGGCCCUGAAAGGUCCUUGUCCUCAAGGUGCUGACACAGUGAAAACCUCCGCGUGCUAUUCUUAGCCUCGGUGUCCUUCCGCGGACCUAGGACAGCAGCCUGCCCCUUCCCUCCCUUCUGGCCUCGGCUUUCCAUCCUCUUUGUUCGCUCACCCGAAGUUAGGGCAGCCCCUCCCUCCCAGGACAGCAGGAAGGGUGGGCCGAGCCUGUCACUGGAUCCCAGUCCACGGUGACCCCUGUGCUUGAGAGUAGAGCCCUGAUGUCUCAAGGGGAAGCUGUGAAUGGGGCAAAAGCUGUUCUCAGCGGCUUGUUCUCCUGUUCGGGGUGGGUGGGGGGCUGCAGGGCACUCCUGUGACCUGGGCAGGUGCUUUUCCACUGGCCCCAGGCCCCCACGCGACUGCACAGGGACAGGGCCCAGGGCGCGAUUGCCCCAGCACCUAAGGAACUGCCCAUGUCCCACGCAGGAUGGUGACCC